RNAcentral lists this ribosomal RNA (257 nucleotides) under uncultured bacterium. RNAcentral describes it as "partial 16S ribosomal RNA". It matches the Rfam family "Bacterial small subunit ribosomal RNA", at positions 524 to 776 of the family's 1533-position model. The record is from RNAcentral.
UACAGAGGGUGCGAGCGUUAAUCGGAAUUACUGGGCGUAAAGCGCGCGUAGGCGGCUUUGCAAGUCGGGUGUGAAAUCCCCAGGCCUAACCUGGGAACUGCACUCGAGACUGCAUGGCUAGAGUAUCGGAGAGGGAAGUGGAAUUUCAGGUGUAGCGGUGAAAUGCGUAGAUAUCUGAAGGAACAUCAGUGGCGAAAGCGAACUUCCUGGACGAAUACUGACGCUCAUGGUGCGAAAAGCGGUGGGGAGCAAACAGG